Long non-coding RNA from Lathyrus oleraceus (garden pea), 359 nucleotides. RefSeq lists it as uncharacterized. The transcript has 2 exons. NCBI's taxonomy places the organism in Eukaryota, Viridiplantae, Streptophyta, Magnoliopsida, Fabales, Fabaceae. The record is from RefSeq and is a predicted model, not a curated record.
AUGAAAUAACAGCAUUGAAAGUUGUAUCGUUUCUUCUAAAAAUCAAAGAUAUGAAAAUCCUUUUCAUUGUUUUGCUGAUUUUCUCAAUUCAUUUAGGAAAUGAAGUGCGAAUGCUAGAGGCAGAUGAUUGUACUAGAAUUAUACCUGGUUAUUGCAAGGAGAAAUGGAAGAGUUUUUUUUGCAGCUUAAAUUGCAUGGGAGAAUGUAAUACAUUUGCUGCAAAUGGUAAAUGUCAUAGCGAAGACAAUGAUUGUCAUUGUAAUUGUUGUUCUUAAAUGGUUAUAACCAUGGAAUAAUACAUUGUGAUAUGGUUAAGGUUUAACUUAAAGAAUAAAAUAUUGUUACUAGUUCUUUCUUCA